UGGGGAAUAUUGGACAAUGGGGGAAACCCUGAUCCAGCAAUGCCGCGUGAGUGAAGAAGGCCUUAGGGUUGUAAAGCUCUUUCGCCCGCGAAGAUAAUGACGGUAGCGGGAGAAGAAGCCCCGGCUAACUUCGUGCCAGCAGCCGCGGUAAUACGAAGGGGGCUAGCGUUGUUCGGAAUUACUGGGCGUAAAGCGCACGUAGGCGGAUUGUUAAGUCGGGGGUGAAAUCCCGGGGCUCAACCCCGGAACUGCCUUCGAUACUGGCAAUCUAGAGUCCGGAAGAGGUGAGUGGAAUUCCGAGUGUAGAGGUGAAAUUCGUAGAUAUUCGGAGGAACACCAGUGGCGAAGGCGGCUCACUGGUCCGGUACUGACGCUGAGGUGCGAAAGCGUGGGGAGCAAACA
Molecule: ribosomal RNA, 402 nt
Filed under: uncultured bacterium
Lineage: Bacteria
Description: bacterial SSU rRNA
Rfam family: Bacterial small subunit ribosomal RNA
Source: RNAcentral